CGUAAACAAGACUGUGGUUCUCUCGUCACUCCAGGAGUAGAGCAGAGCAGAAGGGCAGUCGACACAGAAGAGGAAAAGCAGCACUGACGUGACACUACAGCUAUAGAAGAUGGUGUUGAAGCCAAAGCGAUGCCAUGGACCACUGUGAAUCAGCCACUUGCACAGAAAGCUGUUCAACAGCCAUCACAGACAUUUCAGCUGCCAAGCAUAGUGCUGAUUUUCAGUUCUCAGCAGCAGCACUUGUCGACAGACAAAUGUUGUUCAGAAAACUUAUUGCAAAAAUUUUUUGAUGAAUAUUGUCAAGACUGUGAAUGGGAAAACCAAUGUAGUCAAGUCACAGGAGAGUUGGAUGCGAUGGUUAGUAGAGUUGAGGCCUAGCAAGAACAGCAAGCAGCCAAGUAAAUUAGCAACUAAGACAGAAGAAGUACUGGGAGAGAAAGGGUAGAUAGAAGGAUUACAUGUGGCCAAGAUCUUAAGUCACAUUUGACCAUGCAGACAUUGAGACACCUUAACAAAUGGGAGCCCCGAAACACUCUGAGUGAAUAUAUUAAUGUGAGCUUAAGGCUUAUUAUUUGAAUGUCUUUUUGGCAAAAAGUAAGACCUCCCAUCUGGUUCAAAACUGAAAAUAAAACAUGACAGUGGUUCAUACAAAGCUCCAGCCAUGAUGUCAUCUCAUUGUUUCAAGUGAAGCUUCAGUGAUAAUGUUGUCAAAAGUGAUGCUGGGUGUCAUCUUGUCCCUCAUCAUCCUUCUGACUGUUGGUGGUAAUGUGCUGGUGUGCCUGGCUGUCUGUGCCUCUCGACGCCUCCGUUGCCUCACUAACUGCUUCAUUGUGUCGCUGGCUGUGACAGACCUCCUGCUUGGCCUCCUGGUCCUCCCUUUCUCCGCCCUCCUCCAGCUCAACAAUGAGUGGCCGCUUGGCCCGUUCUUCUGCAACUUCUACAUCUCCAUGGAUGUCAUGCUGUGCACCGCCUCCAUCCUCACCCUCCUGGCUAUCAGUGUGGACCGCUACCUGGCAGUGACCAUGCCUCUACGAUAUGCCUCGCUGGUGUUGCCAUGGAGAGUUGCGGUGGCCAUGGCCAGUGUUUGGACAGUGUCUGUGGCCGUGUCUUUCUUGCCCAUUCAAAUGGGAUGGAACACUGUUAAUGGGACAGUGCAGAACAAUGGGCCUUGGGCUACAGAGAGGCAAUGUCGUUUUGAGCUGAACAGACCCUACGUACUGACUGACUCUCUUCUUACUUUCUAUCUGCCUCUGAUGGCUAUGUGCUGGACCUACCUCCGAAUACUUCGCAUUGCACGUACACAGGCCAAGCGCAUUGUCAGUGCUCGACCCACUUGUGUCAAUAGCUACAACUGCAGGAACAAUCCUUCUACGGGUACCACUGUGGUUCCCAGUGUUACAGCAGUGGCUCUGCGGGAACACAAAGCCACUGUAACACUGGCAGCAGUAAUAGGGGCUUUUGUUGUGUGCUGGCUACCUUAUUUCAUCCUGUUCACAGUGCUGGGCCUAAAGGAGCACCCGGACCCUAGCACAGUACCAGAGUUUCCAAUUGUGUUGUGGCUGGGUUACGCCAACUCAGCCCUCAACCCUAUCCUCUAUGGAGCCCUCAACAGGGACUUCAGGUCAGCCUAUGCCCAUCUACUGAGAUGUCGAUGCCCUACUUACAGUGGGUGGAGGAGCCGACAGCCGUCUCCCACUGUAACACCAGUUUCUCCAGUUUUUAUUUUUCCUUUCCUUCUCUCUAUCUCAGCGAGAGAGCAGCUUACAGAGGUGACAUUGCUGUGCGGUCACACCCCUACCACAUGCAGGGCAGGUUUUACAGAUCAAAACGUCAUGCUGCAAGAAAUGAACUGUAGGGAAACUACAGCAACUAUCCAGUUUACAAAUGGCACUGCUGCCACAGAUGUCAAUGGCAAUGAAAGGUCGUGCUGAACCUGUGCAAGUGAGGUGGAUGCUGUGUUCACUACACUAUUGUUACAACAUAGAACCAGAAUCCAUCCACAGGAGAAAACACACCAGACAAACAAAAAGAUGGACCGAGAUUUACAGCCCCUCUAUUUGGAAGGUUUCAGUGCCACAGCAGAAGCAUAUAAUACACCAUAAUUCACUCUGCCGAUAAUUUAACAAACAAAAAUGUGAGAAUAUAGGACCUCAGCAACUCCACACCUCAUCAGCAAGAACCAACUGUACGCACACAGCCGGCCUCGAUCCAUCCGGGAUCGAACAAAUGAAGAUGCUUCUACGUGGAUGAAGCUAAAACACGAGUUGUCUAACACAAUUAGUCAACUGCAUCCAAGCAUUACACAGGGCAACGAGUGGCCCUGACAUGUUCUUGUACUAACUGUGGUUGUUAUAGCAGCUCUGGACACUGAAUGAGACCAGCCAGUUAACUUGUUGGUAAUCAAUCUCAUGAAGUACACUUUUUAUGCUGACUCAAGACUGCACUCAAGUGGAAACACAAAGUAUCACAACUUCAACAAAGUAAAUUACUUCUAAUUAAAAAUUGGUGUUUCACAAAAUCAGGGAAUGGAAGGGAAAAAGUGAUAAAUGGACUUUCGAAUUUGUUGAAAUGUAUGACAUUUGAAUGUUGAGCAUGCAAACUAAUUUUAUGUGUCACUUUUGAAGAAUGUAGCUGCCUCCAGACUUUGUCUUUAUCGUUGCUCAUUCAGUGGCAUAAAGCUGGCAAAUGUAUGUAUUGUAUCAUACAGAAAAACGACUGAGGGCUGAAAAAUGAACUGUUCCUCUAAAACUGAAAAUUACAACUAUACUGUACCAAUA
Molecule: RNA transcript, 2777 nt
Organism: Xiphias gladius (swordfish)
Lineage: Eukaryota; Metazoa; Chordata; Actinopteri; Istiophoriformes; Xiphiidae
Gene: hrh2a
Gene name: histamine receptor H2a
Exons: 5
Source: RefSeq, a predicted model, not a curated record